GAUGAACGCUGGCGGCGUGCCUAAUACAUGCAAGUCGAGCGAACGGACGAGAAGCUUGCUUCUCUGAUGUUAGCGGCGGACGGGUGAGUAACACGUGGAUAACCUACCUAUAAGACUGGGAUAACUUCGGGAAACCGGAGCUAAUACCGGAUAAUAUUUUGAACCGCAUGGUUCAAAAGUGAAAGACGGUCUUGCUGUCACUUAUAGAUGGAUCCGCGCUGCAUUAGCUAGUUGGUAAGGUAACGGCUUACCAAGGCAACGAUGCAUAGCCGACCUGAGAGGGUGAUCGGCCACACUGGAACGGAGACACGGUCCAGACGCCUACGGGAGGCAGCAGUAGGGAAUCUUCCGCAAUGGGCGAAAGCCUGACGGAGCAACGCCGCGUGAGAGAUGAAGGUCUUCGGAUCGUAAAACUCUGUUAUUAGGGAAGAACAUAUGUGUAAGUAACUGUGCACAUCUUGACGGUACCUAAUCAGAAAGCCACGGCUAACUACGUG
RNAcentral lists this ribosomal RNA (497 nucleotides) under uncultured bacterium. Its description in RNAcentral is "partial 16S ribosomal RNA". It matches the Rfam family "Bacterial small subunit ribosomal RNA", at positions 28 to 507 of the family's 1533-position model. The record is from RNAcentral.